CCCUGAUGGUUGGAAUUCCCUGGUGUCUCAAGCCUCACAACAGUAAAAAAGUCUCCAAGAAUCUCCUUCCCCAUCAGCCCAUCACCUGGCCGUGUCCCGGAAGCUCCUGGAUCUCAGCCUUUCAACCACGUGCUAUUCCCUGUGCCUAACAAGCCUGCCUCUCGUCCCCAUUCUUCUAACAGAUCUUUCUUCAGAAACAUCUCUAAUGCGAUAAGAAACCUCUUCAAGGAUUUGAGGCCAUCAUACUUCAUACACCGCACUCUAAAUCUAAUCCCAGUCUUCAAUUUUCUCAGACAGAAGCAAUUAAAGGUGAAUAUAGGUCCAGUCCACUUAAGAUUAAUUGCCUGCCAAAGGUCCGAUCUUUUGGAACUGGAUUUCCGAUUAAGAGUGUUCACACCAUGGAAGGAUUACUAAGAUAACUCGGCACUCCAAUGGCUCCUUCAAGGUUAUUUAGGUUAAAAUUAUCCAAACCAUUUGUGCCUUGGCCUUGUCGCUCAGAAAUCUAUUCGGCAGCACCUGUCAACUCAUCUCUCAAAUGCACAGCUCCCUGCCAGGCCACCCAGCCUGAGACUCCUGAGUAAGGAACACGGGGACCCAGGGAGGGUACAGGCACUGACAAGCCUGGUUUGACUGUCUUCUGCUACCUGAUUCAGUAGUCUCUCUGCGACUGAGUCCAGACUUAAAAACGAAAGAGGAAUAAGUGAGGCAAUCAUUCUUUGUUGUCGGUUUAGAUAAGGCCUUUCUGACAAUGGGCAGAAUAUGACAUUUCUGUCUCCUUGCACUUGUUGGAUAAAAACAUGUACUGUGUCAGAAACCUUCAGAGAAGACUGGCCACAGGAGUUGCUGUUCACUCUAUCUAGUCUCUCCCCAACACUGGCGAUCGAUUUUCCCAAUGUCUCCA
Long non-coding RNA from Tupaia belangeri chinensis (Chinese tree shrew), 901 nucleotides. RefSeq lists it as uncharacterized. The record is from RefSeq and is a predicted model, not a curated record. Lineage: Eukaryota; Metazoa; Chordata; Mammalia; Scandentia; Tupaiidae. The transcript is spliced from 4 exons.